GACGAACGCUGGCGGCGUGCCUAAUACAUGCAAGUAGACCACUGGUGCGGCCGGGUGAGUAACACGUGGGCACGUGCCUUUAGGUUCGGUAUAACUCAGGGAAACUUGUGCUAAUACCGAAUGCCUUUAGGGCGGGCCCCGUCGGCUUAGCUAGUUGGUGAGGUAAAGGCGCACCAAGGCGACGAUCAGUAGCUGGUCUGAGAGGUUGAUCAGCCACAUUGGGACUGGGACACGGCCCAAACUCCUACGGGAGGCAGCAGUGGGGAAUCUUGCGCAAUGGGCGAAAGCCUGACGCAGCCAUGCCGCGUGAAUGAUGAAGGUCUUAGGAUUGUAAAAUUCUUUCACCGGGGACGCGGUACCCGGAGAAGAAGCCCCGGCUAACUUCGUGCCAGCCGCCGCGGUAAUAC
Molecule: ribosomal RNA, 407 nt
Filed under: uncultured bacterium
Lineage: Bacteria
Description: partial 16S ribosomal RNA
Rfam family: Bacterial small subunit ribosomal RNA
Source: RNAcentral